AAGCUUGCUUCUGAUUGAUAACAUUUGAGUGAGUGGCGGACGGGUGAGUAACACGUGGGUAACCUGCCCUAAAGUGGGGGAUAACAUUUGGAAACAGAUGCUAAUACCGCAUAAAACCUAGCACCGCAUGGUGCAAGGUUGAAAGAUGGUUUCGGCUAUCACUUUAGGAUGGACCCGCGGUGCAUUAGUUAGUUGGUGAGGUAAAGGCUCACCAAGACCGUGAUGCAUAGCCGACCUGAGAGGGUAAUCGGCCACACUGGGACUGAGACACGGCCCAGACUCCUACGGGAGGCAGCAGUAGGGAAUCUUCCACAAUGGACGAAAGUCUGAUGGAGCAACGCCGCGUGAGUGAAGAAGGUUUUCGGAUCGUAAAACUCUGUUGUUGGAGAAGAACGUAUUUGAUAGUAACUGAUCAGGUAGUGACGGUAUCCAACCAGAAAGCCACGGCUAACUACGUGCCAGCAGCCGCGGUAAUACGUAGGUGGCAAGCGUUGUCCGGAUUUAUUGGGCGUAAAGCGAGCGCAGGCGGUUUCUUAAGUCUGAUGUGAAAGCCUUCGGCUCAACCGAAGAAGUGCAUCGGAAACUGGGAAACUUGAGUGCAGAAGAGGACAGUGGAACUCCAUGUGUAGCGGUGAAAUGCGUAGAUAUAUGGAAGAACACCAGUGGCGAAGGCGGCUGUCUGGUCUGUAACUGACGCUGAGGCUCGAAAGCAUGGGUAGCAAACAGGAUUAGAUACCCUGGUAGUCCAUGCCGUAAACGAUGAGUGCUAGGUGUUGGAGGGUUUCCGCCCUUCAGUGCCGCAGCUAACGCAUUAAGCACUCCGCCUGGGGAGUACGACCGCAAGGUUGAAACUCAAAGGAAUUGACGGGGGCCCGCACAAGCGGUGGAGCAUGUGGUUUAAUUCGAAGCAACGCGAAGAACCUUACCAGGUCUUGACAUCCUUUGACCACUCUAGAGAUAGAGCUUUCCCUUCGGGGACAAAGUGACAGGUGGUGCAUGGUUGUCGUCAGCUCGUGUCGUGAGAUGUUGGGUUAAGUCCCGCAACGAGCGCAACCCUUAUUACUAGUUGCCAGCAUUUAGUUGGGCACUCUAGUGAGACUGCCGGUGACAAACCGGAGGAAGGUGGGGACGACGUCAAAUCAUCAUGCCCCUUAUGACCUGGGCUACACACGUGCUACAAUGGAUGGUACAACGAGUCGCGAGACCGCGAGGUUUAGCUAAUCUCUUAAAACCAUUCUCAGUUCGGAUUGUAGGCUGCAACUCGCCUACAUGAAGCCGGAAUCGCUAGUAAUCGCGGAUCAGCAUGCCGCGGUGAAUACGUUCCCGGGCCUUGUACACACCGCCCGUCACACC
Molecule: ribosomal RNA, 1353 nt
Filed under: Latilactobacillus curvatus
Lineage: Bacteria; Bacillati; Bacillota; Bacilli; Lactobacillales; Lactobacillaceae
Description: bacterial SSU rRNA
Rfam family: Bacterial small subunit ribosomal RNA
Source: RNAcentral